CCUUCCUGCAGGAGCCACUGUUUUCUCCCAUUUCAAAACUAGCUGGCUGAUGUCUCCUUUCUCAAAGUUCUGGCCUUCAGCUUUCUGCCAUGUGGCUUUAAGAAAAAGAUAUAAAAUAUACUAAAGCUGCUUUAAAAUUAAAAGCCGUAACUGAAGAAGUACAGCUUGAGGGAUGGUGGACAUUGUGACCUCGUUUCUAACCCCUUCAGUCUUGUCUAUGGAGUAAAUUCCUGAAGUGUUCCUGGCAUGUUCUCACUCAUAGUACAGAUCAGAAAACCCAAAUGGAGAGACAAACAUUGUUUGGCAUGAGGAUGCCUUAAGAACUUUUAUUGUGACACUCACAGGCUAUUUGGUGCUGGUGUGGGAAGAUGGACAAAGAUCGGAGAAAAGCUGUAGCACCACAGACUGGCCGUGCCUGCUCCCCAACCCUUUUUGGUCCAGCAGAACCGUGACACACAAGAACAUGCCUGGGAGGCUUUAUCUGCUGUCUCCGUUAUAACAACGAUCACUCACUGACUCAGAGUGGGGAGCAGGCUCCCAGUUAGGCGGCUGACCUGCAUCCUUGACUCAGAGCAGAAUUAACAUUAUUCACCAACUGGACACUGCAGUCUCCCACCUCCCUGUUCAUUCACUGGCUUGUCUCAUAACUGUAUAGGGAAUCUAUUGCUAUUCCUCAGUGACAGGAAUCAAACCUUUCCCACAUCUUUAUCUCCUACAGAGAUUAGCUUGUGGGCUUGCAUGUGUGUGAGAAAUGUUGAGUUUAAUCCUCCACUCACAGGCUGGAUGUGAUCUGCUGAGUGCCCACCAUCCUCCAGGUGACCUUGCCACCUAGGUCAGAGGUUGGCACCUGCAUCGAAGGCAGCUGUCUCACAAGCCGGCCACGGCCCACAAGAUGGACCAGGGAAGGAGCUCAGCCCAAUGACACUCUUGAGAAUGGACGUUGACUGGCCAGCCAAUUAGAUCCUCUCUCUUAGAGAGUUUGGAUUUAAGAACUAUAGACAGAAUCCAUCAGUUGGCAGCUGAAGUAGUAGAAACAAGUUGAGCCACAAUGUGAUAAAACCUUGAAAGUAAACAGCAAUGGCUACCCAUGUGUAGGAGGCUGGAGCUAUUAUAUCCUUGAGUGAUGUAACCCUGAGGCUUUGUCUAGCUACAAUUAAAUGCUAUAUUUAGGAACACAUUUACUCUUCUACAGCCAUCAUCCAAAUGUAUAAAUAUUGUAAAAGAGUUUGGGAACAUAAGCCAAAAUGAAAGGGAGCCAGUUCCUUAGCUGAGCCCAUUGUUUUCAAAUUCAGGACAAGGCCAAGGGUCUCUGUUGCUACACUGACUUCCCGUCCCUUUCUCCCCAGUUCCAUGGUCUCAACUGGCUGACGAGAAUGGGGCUGUCUCCAGCCUGUGCCCAGUGUCAGGUGAGACAGGAAGAGAAAAGGAACAGCUCAAUCUGUUGUCACAAAUAAAACUGUAAUCUUUUAAACAAAUGGUGCUAGGGAAAGUGUAUGUAUAUCCACAUGCACAAGAAUGAAGUUGGACCCUUACCUUACACUAUACACAGAAGACUAACUCAAAAGUGGUUCAAAGACCUACAUUUAAGAGCCUAUAACCCUUAGAAUAAAACAUAGGUGCAAAUCUUCAUGACCUUGGAUUAGACAAUGAUUUCUCAGGUAUGACACCAAAAGCACACGAAGAAAAACUAAACUGUAUUUCAUAAAAAGUAAAAACUUUCUGUAUCAAAGACACUAUCAAAGUUUGUAAAAAGACAGCCCACUAAAUGGGAGAAAAAAUUUGCAAAUCACCUAUAUGAUAAGAAAUUAAUAUUCAGAAUAUAUUAAGAACUCCUACAACUCAACACACCAAAAUAACCAAACCACCCAGUUACAGGGUGGACCAAGAACCAAACAAACAUUUCUCCAAAGAAGAUACACAAAUAGCCAAAAAGCGUGUGAAAAGAUGCUCAACAUUAAUUAAGGCAAUGCAAAUCAAAACCACAGUGAGAUACCACCAUUAUCCAUCAGGACAUCUAUUCAAACAGAAAAUAAGUGUUGGUGAGGAUGUGCAGAAACCAGAUCCUUCUUUCAUUGCUGGUGGGACUGUAAAAUGGUGCAGCUGCUGUGGAUAACAGUCUGGCAGUUCCUCGAUAAGUUGAACAAAGAAUUUCAGUAUGCCCCAGCAAUACCACUUCUAGAUUAUAUGCCCAAAACAAUUGAAAACAGGGACUCAAACUUGUACCCAUGUUCACAGCAGCAUUAUUCACAAUAGCCAAAAGGUGGGGAAAAAACCAAGUGUCAAUCAAUGGAUAAACAGAUAAGCAAAAUUUGGUACACGUGUCAUUGGAAUAACAUUCAGCCAUGAAAAAGAAUGGAAUUACAAUACAUGCCACAACAUGGAUAAGACUUGAGAAUAUUAUGCUAUGUAAAAAUCAACCAGUCACAAAAGGACUGAAUGGCAUAUAAUUUCACUUUUACGAAUCCUUCACAGAGGCAAAUUCCUAGAGGUAGAGAGUAGAAUAGAGUUUGCCAAGGCCUGAGGGUGGGGGAAGGUUAGAAAGGGCAAUUACUGCUCGAUGGGUAAGAGUUUGUUUGGACAAUGCUAUAUGGAAAGAGCAGCGAUGGUCAAACAACAUUGUGAAUGUACUUAAUGCCUCUGAAUUUUAUAUUUAAAAUUGUUAAAAUGGUAACUUUUAUUAUGUA
Long non-coding RNA from Manis javanica (Malayan pangolin), 2684 nucleotides. RefSeq lists it as uncharacterized. The record is from RefSeq and is a predicted model, not a curated record. Lineage: Eukaryota; Metazoa; Chordata; Mammalia; Pholidota; Manidae.